GCCACAGGCAGCGGCUGAGCCCUGGGCAGCCAUUGUGAGCAGCAGCCAGACACAGACGUAUAAAUAUAGCUCAGUGCUGUGAUGUUAAAAUGCUGAUCCUGGCCUGAAUCUUACAAGCUGGAGUGUACACCAUUCCUUUGGGAGAAGCAGACUGGUACUUCUGUGAAUGUUCAAUAGAUAACAGGAUGGACACGACAAAGAGACUUCAAAGGGACUCAGGGGCUGGGGUGCACCUUUGGUUACCUGCAAGGCAAACUACACAGAGGAGGAUUGAUGUCCAGACUCAACUUUCAAGGCAAUAUGGUUCCAGGAAAGGAGUUUUAUACUAGGAGAGUUUUCAAGAUAACAACUAUAGGCUUGGGCAGUAAGAGGGAACUGUGUUUUAAGCAGUUAGAUUGGAGAUAGAGCCCAAGAAGGACAGGUACCAAGACACCUAUUUCUUGAUGAAAGAACAGAGGCACAGUAGCUGAGACUUCUAUAAGAGAGAUUUGCCUGUGGCCCCGAUUCUGCACCCAUCCAAGUCAAUGGGAGUUGUAACCACCUUGUUGUGAGGUUAGUUAUGACCUGUUUCAGGAAACAGGACCUGUGGGAAUUUUGCA
Long non-coding RNA from Mauremys reevesii (Reeves's turtle), 599 nucleotides. RefSeq lists it as uncharacterized. NCBI's taxonomy places the organism in Eukaryota, Metazoa, Chordata, Testudines, Geoemydidae. The transcript has 3 exons. The record is from RefSeq and is a predicted model, not a curated record.